RNAcentral lists this transfer RNA (72 nucleotides) under Myotis davidii. It matches the Rfam family "tRNA". From Rfam's summary of the family: Transfer RNA (tRNA) molecules are approximately 80 nucleotides in length. Their secondary structure includes four short double-helical elements and three loops (D, anti-codon, and T loops). Lineage: Eukaryota; Metazoa; Chordata; Mammalia; Chiroptera; Vespertilionidae. The record is from Rfam by way of RNAcentral.
GCCGGUGUAGCUCAGUGGUUGAGCACUGAGCUAGGAACCAAGAGGCCACCAGUUCGAUUCCUGGUCAGGGCA